This 896-nucleotide ribosomal RNA is filed under the name uncultured archaeon. RNAcentral describes it as "bacterial SSU rRNA". It matches the Rfam family "Archaeal small subunit ribosomal RNA", at positions 1 to 884 of the family's 1478-position model. The record is from RNAcentral.
UUCCGGUUGAUCCUGCCGGACCCGACUGCUAUUUGGGUGAGGAUAAACCAUGCGAGUUGUAUGGGAUACCUAAAUUUCCCAUGGCAAACUGCUUAGUAACACAUGAUCAACUUACCCUAUGGAGAAAUAUAACCUCGGGAAACUGAGGAUAAUAUUUCAUAGUUGAAUAGGCUUGGAAAAGUUUUUCAAUGAAAGGGAUAAGAAAAAUAGUUCUUAUCUGCUAUAGGAUAGGAUCGUGGUCGAUUAUGGUUGUUGGUGAGGUAACGGCUCACCAAGCCGAUAAUCGAUAGGGGCCGUGAGAGCGGGAGCCCCAAGAUGGGUACUGAGACAGCGACCCAGGCCUUACGAGGCGCAGCAGGUACGAAACCUCCGCAAUACACGAAAGUGUGUCGGGGUUACCCAAAGUGUUCUUAUUGAACUGUGGCAGGUGAGUAAUGUCCCCUGCUAGAAAGGAGAGGGCAAGGCUGGUGCCAGCCGCCGCGGUAAAACCAGCUCUUCAAGUGGUCGGGAUAAUUAUUGGGCUUAAAGUGUCCGUAGCCGGUUUAGUAAGUUCCUGGUAAAAUCAGGUAGCUUAACUAUCUGUAUGCUAGGAAUACUGCUAUACUAGAAGGCGGGAGAGGUCUGAGGUACUACAGGGGUAGGGGUGAAAUCUUAUAAUCCUUGUAGGACCACCAGUGGCGAAGGCGUCAGACUGGAACGCGCCUGACGGUGAGGGACGAAAGCCAGGGGAGCGAACCGGAUUAGAUACCCGGGUAGUCCUGGCCGUAAACGAUGCAUACUAUGUGAUGGUACGGCCAUGAGCCGUGCCAGUGCCGUAGGGAAACCGUUAAGUGUGCCGCCUGGGAAGUACGGUCGCAAGGCUAAAACUUAAAGGAAUUGGCGGGGGAGCACCACAA